Vespa mandarinia (Asian giant hornet) is the source of this 557-nucleotide long non-coding RNA. Lineage: Eukaryota; Metazoa; Arthropoda; Insecta; Hymenoptera; Vespidae. The record is from RefSeq and is a predicted model, not a curated record.
AAUCGGUCUAUAUAUAAAGUAUCUAUCUAAUGAUAUGAAUCCGAUUCGCUCGAAGGUCUCGAAUUAAGAAAUAAAAAAAGAUAGACGAAAGCAAUGUCUUUUCGGCGCUAUCCAAGGAUCGUGAUUUAGUCAAGGACACAUUACCACGCGUAAAGUAGUCGUUCGUCGGUGUUAUCAAAGAGAACGAGAGAGAGAGAGAGAGAGAUAGAGGAUGAUCGAUGGGGGGAUUAGAUCUUCCGAUCGUCAGACAUGGAUCGGACGAUUUCAUUUCGUAAUAAUUCUGCGAGGUUUUUCGUAUCUCAAAAAUUGAAAAUGUUCACGGUACGAGGUUGAAGAAAAGAAAAGAACAGAAAAGAAAAGAACAGAAAAAGAAAGGAGAGCAAAAAGAAAAGGAGGAAGAAAAAGAGAAAAGGAAAAAAUCCAUUUCCAACCACGUCCAUUUCUCUUCCUUCUCGGGAAUCUCUUUCUGUCGAGAAGACAUUCUCGAGGGAGAAGAAGAGAAACGGGAAAGGAAAGAUGAGGUUAAAUAAGAAAAAAAAAAAAAAAAAAAAAAAAAA